ACUUUGAUUCUGGCUCGGAUUGAACGCUGGCGGCGUGCCUAACACAUGCAAGUCGAACGCGAAAGUUUCUUCGGAAAUGAGUAGAGUGGCGCACGGGUGAGUAACGCGUGGAUUAUCUACCUACUGGUACGGGACAACAGUUGGAAACGACUGCUAAUACCGUAUACGCUGGUAACGGGAAAGGGGGCCUCUUCUUGAAAGCUCUCGCCAGUAGAUGAGUCCGCGUUUCAUUAGCUAGACGGUGGGGUAACGGCCUACCGUGGCAACGAUGAAUAGCAGGCCUGAGAGGGUGGCCUGCCACACUGGGACUGGAACACGGCCCAGACUCCUACGGGAGGCAGCAGUGGGGAAUAUUGCGCAAUGGACGAAAGUCUGACGCAGCGACGCCGCGUGGAGGAUGAAGGUUUUCGGAUCGUAAACUCCUGUCAAGAGGGAAGAAACCUAUCAUGAAUAAUACUCAUGGUAAUUGACGGUACCUCUAGAGGAAGCACCGGCUAAUUCAGUGCCAGCAGCCGCGGUA
This 520-nucleotide ribosomal RNA is filed under the name uncultured bacterium. Its description in RNAcentral is "bacterial SSU rRNA". It matches the Rfam family "Bacterial small subunit ribosomal RNA", at positions 10 to 522 of the family's 1533-position model. The record is from RNAcentral.